ACGGUCCUAAGGUAGCGAAAUUCCUUGUCGGGUAAGUUCCGACCUGCACGAAUGGCAUAAUAAUGGCCACACUGUCUCCUCCCGAGACUCAGUGAAAUUGAAAUGUUUGUGAUGAUGCAAUCUCCCCGCGGCUAGACGGAAAGACCCCAUGAACCUUAACUGUAGCUUUGCAUUGGACUUUGAACCGAUCUGUGUAGGAUAGGCGGGAGGCUUUGAAGAAUGGACGCCAGUUCAUUCGGAGCCGUCGUUGAAAUACCGCCCUGAUUUGUUUGAGGUUCUAACCUGGGCCAGUAAUCCUGGCUGGGGACCGUGCAUGGUGGGCAGUUUGACUGGGGCGGUCUCCUCCUAAAGGGUAACGGAGGAGUGCGAAGGUACGCUAAUCACGGUCGGAAAUCGUGAGGAUACUGCAAUGGGAAAAGCGUGCCUGACUGCGAGACAGACAAGUCGAGCAGAUGCGAAAGCAGGUCAUAGUGAUCCGGUGGCUUCUGUAUGGAAGGGCCAUCGCUCAACGGAUAAAAGGUACUCUGGGGAUAACAGGCUGAUACCGCCCAAGAGUUCAUAUCGACGGCGGUGUUUGGCACCUCGAUGUCGGCUCAUCGCAUCCUGGGGCUGAAGUCGGUCCCAAGGGUAUGGCUGUUCGCCAUUUAAAGAGGUACGUGAGCUGGGUUUAAAACGUCGUGAGACAGUUUGGUCCCUAUCUACCGCGGGCGCUGGAAGAUUGACAGGGGCUGCUCCUAGUACGAGAGGACCGGAGUGGACGCACCUCUGGUGUAUCGGUUGUGACGCCAGUCGCAUUGCCGAGUAGCUAUGUGCGGAAGAGAUAACCGCUGAAAGCAUCUAAGCGGGAAACUUGCCUGAAGAUUAGUCUUCCCGGAGGCUUGACCUCCCUGAAGGGUCGUCCGAGACCAGGACGUUGAUAGGCCAGGUGUGGAAGCGCUGUGAGGCGUGAAGCUAACUGGUACUAAUUGCCCGUGCGGCUUGAUCCU
This 986-nucleotide ribosomal RNA is filed under the name human gut metagenome. Its description in RNAcentral is "bacterial LSU rRNA". It matches the Rfam family "Bacterial large subunit ribosomal RNA", at positions 1945 to 2925 of the family's 2925-position model. The record is from RNAcentral.